RNAcentral lists this ribosomal RNA (497 nucleotides) under uncultured bacterium. RNAcentral describes it as "partial 16S ribosomal RNA". It matches the Rfam family "Bacterial small subunit ribosomal RNA", at positions 28 to 507 of the family's 1533-position model. The record is from RNAcentral.
GAUGAACGCUGGCGGCGUGCCUAAUACAUGCAAGUCGAGCGAACAGACGAGGAGCUUGCUCCUCUGACGUUAGCGGCGGACGGGUGAGUAACACGUGGAUAACCUACCUAUAAGACUGGGAUAACUUCGGGAAACCGGAGCUAAUACCGGAUAAUAUAUUGAACCGCAUGGUUCAAUAGUGAAAGACGGUUUUGCUGUCACUUAUAGAUGGAUCCGCGCCGCAUUAGCUAGUUGGUAAGGUAACGGCUUACCAAGGCAACGAUGCGUAGCCGACCUGAGAAGGUGAUCGGCCAAACUGGAACUGAGACACGGUCCAGACUCCUACGGGAGGCAGCCGUAGGGAAUCUUCCGCAAUGGGCGAAAGCCUGACGGAGCAACGCCGCGGGAGUGAUGAAGGUCUUCGGAUCGUAAAACUCUGUUAUUAGGGAAGAACAAAUGUGUAAGUAACUAUGCACGUCUUGACGGUACCUAAUCAGAAAGCCGCGGCUAACUACGUG